ACGGAGGAUGCAAGCGUUAUCCGGAUUCAUUGGGUUUAAAGGGUGCGUAGGCGGCUCUUUAAGUCAGUGGUGAAAUCCUGCCGCUUAACGGUAGAAUUGCCAUUGAUACUGAAGAGCUUGAGUACAAUUGAGGUAAGCGGAAUGUGUAGUGUAGCGGUGAAAUGCUUAGAUAUUACACAGAACACCAAUUGCGAAGGCAGCUUACUAAACUGUUACUGACGCUGAUGCACGAAAGCGUGGGGAGCGAACAG
Molecule: ribosomal RNA, 251 nt
Filed under: uncultured prokaryote
Description: partial 16S rRNA
Rfam family: Bacterial small subunit ribosomal RNA
Source: RNAcentral